CCGUUAUGUUGGUCUUUUGGGUUUACCACUAGGGGUCACUAAAGAGAGAUGGGAGAUAGUCAAUCUUUUCUAAGUAAUUCCAGAACAGCCAUGGGCUUUGGACAAGAUGCAGAGCUGAGAAAAAAAGACAAUUGCCUACAUAGAAUCCAGAGUUUCAUCUUCCACUCAAUUCAGUAA
This is a long non-coding RNA of Bos indicus x Bos taurus (hybrid cattle), 177 nucleotides long. The record is from Ensembl. NCBI's taxonomy places the organism in Eukaryota, Metazoa, Chordata, Mammalia, Artiodactyla, Bovidae.